UCGAGUUUGAUCAUGGCUCAGAUUGAACGCUGGCGGCAGGCCUAACACAUGCAAGUCGAGCGGUAGCACAGGAGAGCUUGCUCUCUGGGUGACGAGCGGCGGACGGGUGAGUAAUGUCUGGGAAACUGCCUGAUGGAGGGGGAUAACUACUGGAAACGGUAGCUAAUACCGCAUGACCUCGCAAGAGCAAAGUGGGGGACCUUCGGGCCUCACGCCAUCGGAUGUGCCCAGAUGGGAUUAGCUAGUAGGUGGGGUAAUGGCUCACCUAGGCGACGAUCCCUAGCUGGUCUGAGAGGAUGACCAGCCACACUGGAACUGAGACACGGUCCAGACUCCUACGGGAGGCAGCAGUGGGGAAUAUUGCACAAUGGGCGCAAGCCUGAUGCAGCCAUGCCGCGUGUGUGAAGAAGGCCUUAGGGUUGUAAAGCACUUUCAGCGAGGAGGAAGGGUUCAGUGUUAAUAGCACUGAUGCAUUGACGUACUCG
RNAcentral lists this ribosomal RNA (485 nucleotides) under Rahnella sp. 01WB03.4-12. RNAcentral's name for it is "bacterial SSU rRNA". It matches the Rfam family "Bacterial small subunit ribosomal RNA", at positions 1 to 481 of the family's 1533-position model. Lineage: Bacteria; Pseudomonadati; Pseudomonadota; Gammaproteobacteria; Enterobacterales; Yersiniaceae. The record is from RNAcentral.